GUCGACUAACGUGCCCGCAUAGUUUUUGUUGUCUUCACUCACUUCAGCCGGGAUCGCCACUUUAUAACGUUCAUGGCUACGAAUCGC
This 87-nucleotide small RNA is filed under the name Vibrio cholerae O1 biovar El Tor str. N16961. The record is from RNAcentral. Lineage: Bacteria; Pseudomonadati; Pseudomonadota; Gammaproteobacteria; Vibrionales; Vibrionaceae.